GCCAGGUCCAGCAGAUCCGGGACGUGCCCUGCGAGCAGAUAAGCUGGACAAGCACGUUUGCUUUAGGGCUGUUUACGGGGCAAAGUCUGAAACGAGAUGCUCGGCCCCACUGAGCCCCGAGGGCGGGACAGGACGUCCACACGAGGCCAAAGGGUCAACCGUCUCCAGAGCCCACCGAGCCACUCGGAGGGGCAGCAAGGAGACCCUCUCCCCUGCACUGCCAGGCACUGCUCCUCCCCAAGCAGCAGCCUUCGCUUCGGCCGAGGAAAGGCUGUGGGAGCGGGAGGGGGUCAGGGAAGCUCCCGGGCGGAGCAUGGCCCGGGGCCCGGGGCCCGGGGCCCAGGGAGGCAUCCGCGAGGCCCUCUCACUGGCCACCUCUGGCCCGUCUCAAGCUGUGUCGGGCACAGGCACUGCCCACAUCUGAACUUUGAGGGUCCUAACUGCAGCGGCUGCAAUCGAGGGACCCGGCCGGGGGCGGGGCAGACGGCGGGGGCCCGGGGGGAGCUCGUGAGGUGACGAGGGCCAAGCAGCUGCUCUGAGGCCCCAGGCCGUGUAGGAACCGUGGCCCUCGCCCCAGGCGGAGGCUCACUGACCACCAUCCUGCCCAGCAGGGAAGAGCAGGUGGCGGCCUCCUGCUGGGCAGAGCAAACCCGCUCUCCGCAUCGCCUCCGUCCCACUUCCCGCCAAGCUCGCCGCCAGAACGCGGGACAGCCCAGGAUUCUGGACGGAGAGGCGCAGGGCCUCCCGGGGAGAAGGGCCAUUAAAAGGCGACCAAAACUUCACGAGCAGCUGAAACUGACGGUAACGGGUGCUUUCUCCAACGCCACCAAGCAAUGAACACGGGUCCCCUGGGGGUGGCGUCAGCCCCACAAGAGGCCCCCGCCCCCGACCCGGUCGCAGGCCCAGGUCAUCACCGGGCGGUACACCCGGGGCUGCGGGACCCUCCUCAGGUGGUGUGACCUUGCUGGAGGGGCUCGCAGAACUCAGAGCACAGGCCCCCCUGCAGCUCACCAGCCCAUCAAAAGCAUCCAACGGGGGAACAAGCAGGGGGACGAGACCGGGGACCCACAGCUCCGCGGGUGACGGCCCAGCUGGACGCUCCCAAAGCCUGGGGGUCUCCGCACGCAGGGAUUGGAUCCGGCCCCCCCCGCCUCCCCGGACAACCACAGCCCUUCGGGGUUUGAGGAAAGAUACGCCCUUAUCAGGAAUCAAGCAGCCGAGCCCCGCAGCGCAGAGCCCCUGCCGGCUGCCCUGGGGGUCAUGGGCCUAGAGCGGGUCUGGACAGCUUCCCACGCUGUUUUCCCAUCUGGGCCGCAGGAUAACCCCUGAAGGAGGGGAGCCCGUCCAGUCAGGGCGGCCGAGGAGCCAGGCCCUCCCCGCCGGCCCCUCUGCCUGCGGACCUGGCCCUGGACGGUGGGAGAACCUCACAGCGCUGCGGGCCCCCUCGCGGCCAGCUGGGGUCAGCCCAAAUGUUGUGCUGCAAUGGCCCUCACGGCACUGACACCCACCAGCACGGGCCCUGGCGACCUGGAGCGCCGACACCGUGCCCAGGUGCUGCACGGCCCCCCCAAGACCCACCCCCAGCACAGCCAUCACCUCCUGUGCCUCAAAACCUCUCCCUGGCUGAUGCCUGACUCCUGGAAGCGAGAAAGCAGCUACAGAAACGCUCCAAGGCGCACCCCCAGGCCGCGGGCCUUUUCUGGGCUGCGAUGCUGGGACCAGCACUCGGCCAACAGCGCAGGAAGCGGCCGGAGAGAAAAGGCCCGGGCCUCUGUGCGAAUGCACGAGCCCUCUGGACGCGCCUGCAACCAGGCAGCUCCCACGGCCCCCUCCUGGCCCAGGCAUCCUGGACACUUUCACACCCUUGGGGAAAGCAGGUAAAGGCCAUUCCUCCACACCUGAGCUGAGGCAGCGGGAGGCCCAGGUCAAAGGUAGCAGUAAAACGAGACAAAAACCCAA
This is a long non-coding RNA of Phacochoerus africanus (Common warthog), 1959 nucleotides long. RefSeq lists it as uncharacterized. Lineage: Eukaryota; Metazoa; Chordata; Mammalia; Artiodactyla; Suidae. The record is from RefSeq and is a predicted model, not a curated record. The transcript has 2 exons.